Small nuclear RNA from Antechinus flavipes (yellow-footed antechinus), 164 nucleotides. RefSeq annotates it as U1 spliceosomal RNA. Lineage: Eukaryota; Metazoa; Chordata; Mammalia; Dasyuromorphia; Dasyuridae. The record is from RefSeq and is a predicted model, not a curated record. The transcript has a single exon.
AUACUUUCCUGGCAGGGAAGAUUCCAUAAUCAUAAAGGUGGUUUCUCCAGGGUUAGGCUUAUCAAUUGCCCUCUGGAUGGGUUGACCCCUGGGAUUUCCCCAAAUGGGGGAAACUCUACUGCCUAAUUUGUGAUAGUGGGGGACUGUGUUUGUGCUUUCCCCUA